UAGGGAAUUUUCGUCAAUGGGCGCAAGCCUGAACGAGCGAUGCCGCGUGAGUGAAGAAGGCCUUCGGGUCGUAAAGCUCUGUUGGACGGGGGGAAAAAAAGGCAGCAUCAGGAAAUGGGUGCUGACUGAUGGUCGCCCCCGCCGGAAAGUCACGGCUAACUACGUGCC
RNAcentral lists this ribosomal RNA (168 nucleotides) under uncultured bacterium. RNAcentral describes it as "partial 16S ribosomal RNA". It matches the Rfam family "Bacterial small subunit ribosomal RNA", at positions 355 to 509 of the family's 1533-position model. The record is from RNAcentral.